Long non-coding RNA from Oncorhynchus mykiss (rainbow trout), 616 nucleotides. RefSeq lists it as uncharacterized. The record is from RefSeq and is a predicted model, not a curated record. Lineage: Eukaryota; Metazoa; Chordata; Actinopteri; Salmoniformes; Salmonidae.
AAAACAAUUAAAUGCAUCAUUCUAACAUUGCCUAAAAUGAUGAAUAAGACACUAAUGAGAUAGACCUGCACAAUGCAGUUGUACAAUUUAUGGCACAUAUGACGACAAACGGUUGAGGAAAACACUCGUUUACUUUUCCCAACUUUAAGCAAAUCACAAGCGGCGACAGCUGGGCGAUGACCAAUCAUAUCGCGGGGUUCCCGUGACGAUGACCAAUCAUAUCGAGUGGUUCCCGUGACGAUGACCAAUCAAAUCGAGUGGUUCCCGUGACGUUGACCAAUCAUAUCGAGUGGUUCCCGUGACGUUGACCAAUCAUAUCGAGUGGCUCCCAUGACGAAUCUGACGCGUGAAACCCAGGACAGGAGACUAUCUCCAGCAAAGAUGGCUGACAGAAAUACCAGGACGGAAGCAAAUGGACUCCUGAAACAACCAGCAAACCAGGCUGUCGUCUUGUGAAACAGUAGAUGUAAAUAAUCUAGCUAGCUAAAGCAUUUACUGCAAAUUGAAUGUACCGUUUUGUAAGCUUGCCUUGCUGAUAUUUACAAUGCAGAUGAAGUAACGUAGCUAGUUUCUUGCUUCUUGUGCAGUGCAGAAUAAAAAUAUCUGUAUGCCUAUA